RNAcentral lists this ribosomal RNA (429 nucleotides) under Chloroflexota bacterium. RNAcentral's name for it is "Chloroflexi bacterium partial 16S ribosomal RNA". It matches the Rfam family "Bacterial small subunit ribosomal RNA", at positions 355 to 776 of the family's 1533-position model. Lineage: Bacteria; Bacillati; Chloroflexota. The record is from RNAcentral.
UGGGGAAUAUUGCACAAUGGGCGCAAGCCUGAUGCAGCCAUGCCGCGUGUGUGAAGAAGGCCUUCGGGUUGUAAAGCACUUUCAGCGGGGAGGAAGGCGAUAAGGUUAAUAACCUCAUCGAUUGACGUUACCCGCAGAAGAAGCACCGGCUAACUCCGUGCCAGCAGCCGCGGUAAUACGGAGGGUGCAAGCGUUAAUCGGAAUUACUGGGCGUAAAGCGCACGCAGGCGGUCUGUCAAGUCGGAUGUGAAAUCCCCGGGCUCAACCUGGGAACUACAUUCGAAACUGGCAGGCUAGAGUCUUGUAGAGGGGGGUAGAAUUCCAGGUGUAGCGGUGAAAUGCGUAGAGAUCUGGAGGAAUACCGGUGGCGAAGGCGGCCCCCUGGACAAAGACUGACGCUCAGGUGCGAAAGCGUGGGGAGCAAACAGG